GGGCGUAAGGGCUCGUAGGCGGUUCGUCGCGUCCGGUGUGAAAGUCCAUCGCCUAACGGUGGAUCUGCGCCGGGUACGGGCGGGCUGGAGUGCGGUAGGGGAGACUGGAAUUCCCGGUGUAACGGUGGAAUGUGUAGAUAUCGGGAAGAACACCAAUGGCGAAGGCAGGUCUCUGGGCCGUCACUGACGCUGAGGAGCGAAAGCGUGGGGAGCGAACAGGAUUAGAUACCC
This 231-nucleotide ribosomal RNA is filed under the name Bifidobacterium animalis subsp. lactis. RNAcentral describes it as "partial 16S ribosomal RNA". It matches the Rfam family "Bacterial small subunit ribosomal RNA", at positions 556 to 787 of the family's 1533-position model. The record is from RNAcentral. Lineage: Bacteria; Bacillati; Actinomycetota; Actinomycetes; Bifidobacteriales; Bifidobacteriaceae.